UGAGGAAUUUUGCGCAAUGGGGGGAACCCUGACGCAGCAACGCCGCGUGGGUGAUGAAGGCCUUCGGGUCGUAAAGCCCUGUCGGGCGGGAAGAACGUCCCUUCGGGGAAUGACGGUACCGCCAGAGGAAGCACCGGCUAACUCCGUGCCAGCAGCCGCGGUAAUACGGAGGGUGCAAGCGUUAUUCGGAAGUACUGGGCGUAAAGGGCGUGCAGGCGGGAGAGCAAGUCUGCUGUGAAAUCCCGGGGCUUAACCCCGGAAGGGCAUUGGAAACUGCUGUGCUUGAGUUCUGGAGAGGAAGUGAGAAUUCCCGGUGGAGAGGUGAAAUUCGUAGAGAUCGGGAGGAACAUCAGUGGCGAAGGCGCCCUUCUGGACAGCAACUGACGCUGAGACGCGAAAGCGUGGGGAGCAAACA
Molecule: ribosomal RNA, 415 nt
Filed under: uncultured prokaryote
Description: bacterial SSU rRNA
Rfam family: Bacterial small subunit ribosomal RNA
Source: RNAcentral